UUCUGAGGAAAACUUUAUGGUAGUAUCGUAUCUACUAUCUCCUAUAUUUGACAUUCUUGUUGAACACAGUAUUUUUGGUGUUUUACCAUUAAAGGGGGAAAAGAAAAAUCAGAUUGAUUUGUUUGAUUAUGUAAAGGACAGACAUUUGUUAGACAGUCGAAUUUAUACUUUAUGAUCUAACGAAGAAAAGAGAUGUUAGUAACAUUUCUUGUUAACCUCAAUAAAAAAGGGAAAAAUAGAAAAGUGCACUGUUGCUUGUGUUUUCCUUCUCAUACGUGAACACUUGUUAGGUCUUGUAGCUUAAUCUAGAUUCCACUUCGAUAAUUUUCCAGAGUAGACAACCUUGGUGGUGGUGUCAACAAUGGCCUUGAUGGCAUCAAGGAUUGUGGUUCCAUUUGUAAAGGAUCGCUCNN
This 413-nucleotide long non-coding RNA is filed under the name Phoenix dactylifera (date palm). RNAcentral's name for it is "long non-coding RNA (PDAC_LNC011080)". The record is from RNAcentral. Lineage: Eukaryota; Viridiplantae; Streptophyta; Magnoliopsida; Arecales; Arecaceae.